RNAcentral lists this unclassified non-coding RNA (351 nucleotides) under soil metagenome. RNAcentral's name for it is "partial contains 5.8S ribosomal RNA, internal transcribed spacer 2, and large subunit ribosomal RNA". The stretch from base 1 to 120 matches the Rfam family "5.8S ribosomal RNA", at positions 35 to 154 of the family's 154-position model. The record is from RNAcentral.
GAUGAAGAACGUAGCGAACUGCGAUAAGUAAUGUGAAUUGCAGAAUUCAGUGAAUCAUCGAGUCUUUGAACGCACAUUGCGCCCCCUGGCAUUCCGGGGGGCAUGCCUGUCCGAGCGUCAUUGCUGCCCUUCAAGCCCGGCUUGUGUGUUGGGUCGUCGUCCCCCCCCGGGGGACGGGCCCGAAAGGCAGCGGCGGCACCGCGUCCGGUCCUCGAGCGUAUGGGGCUUUGUCACCCGCUCGAUUAGGGCCGGCCGGGCGCCAGCCGGCGUCUCCAACCUUCUAUUUUACCAGGUUGACCUCGGAUCAGGUAGGGAUACCCGCUGAACUUAAGCAUAUCAAUAAGCGGAGGA